This 427-nucleotide ribosomal RNA is filed under the name uncultured bacterium. RNAcentral describes it as "partial 16S ribosomal RNA". It matches the Rfam family "Bacterial small subunit ribosomal RNA", at positions 355 to 774 of the family's 1533-position model. The record is from RNAcentral.
UGGGGAAUAUUGGACAAUGGGCGAAAGCCUGAUCCAGCCAUGCCGCGUGUGUGAAGAAGGUCUUCGGAUUGUAAAGCACUUUAAGUUGGGAGGAAGGGCAUUAACCUAAUACGUUAGUGUAUUGACGUUACCGACAGAAUAAGCACCGGCUAACUCUGUGCCAGCAGCCGCGGUAAUACAGAGGGUGCAAGCGUUAAUCGGAAUUACUGGGCGUAAAGCGCGCGUAGGUGGUCUGUUAAGUUGGAUGUGAAAUCCCCGGGCUCAACCUGGGAACUGCAUUCAAAACUGACUGACUAGAGUAUGGUAGAGGGUGGUGGAAUUUCCUGUGUAGCGGUGAAAUGCGUAGAUAUAGGAAGGAACACCAGUGGCGAAGGCGACCACCUGGACUAAUACUGACACUGAGGUGCGAAAGCGUGGGGAGCAAACA